ACUGGGCACCAACUGACGCUGAGGCUCGAAAGUGUGGGUAGCAAACAGGAUUAGAUACCCUGGUAGUCCACACCGUAAACGAUGAUUACUAGGUGUUGGAGGAUUGACCCCUUCAGUGCCGCAGUUAACACAAUAAGUAAUCCACCUGGGGAGUACGACCGCAAGGUUGAAACUCAAAGGAAUUGACGGGGGCCCGCACAAGCAGUGGAGUAUGUGGUUUAAUUCGACGCAACGCGAAGAACCUUACCAAGUCUUGACAUCCUGCGACGGUGCUGGAAACAGUACUUUCCUUCGGGACGCAGAGACAGGUGGUGCAUGGUUGUCGUCAGCUCGUGUCGUGAGAUGUUGGGUUAAGUCCCGCAACGAGCGCAACCCUUAUGGUCAGUUACUACGCAAGAGGACUCUGGCCAGACUGCCGUUGACAAAACGGAGGAAGGUGGGGAUGACGUCAAAUCAUCAUGCCCUUUAUGACUUGGGCUACACACGUACUACAAUGGCGUUAAACAAAGAGAAGCAAGACCGCGAGGUGGAGCAAAACUCAGAAACAACGUCCCAGUUCGGACUGCAGGCUGCAACUCGCCUGCACGAAGUCGGAAUUGCUAGUAAUCGCAGAUCAGCAUGCUGCGGUGAAUACGUUCCCGGGCCUUGUACACACCGCCCGUCACACCAUGAGAGCCGGGGGGACCCGAAGUCGGUAGUCUAACCGCAAGGAGGACGCCGCCG
This 723-nucleotide ribosomal RNA is filed under the name Carnobacterium sp. N15.MGS-207. Its description in RNAcentral is "bacterial SSU rRNA". It matches the Rfam family "Bacterial small subunit ribosomal RNA", at positions 728 to 1458 of the family's 1533-position model. Lineage: Bacteria; Bacillati; Bacillota; Bacilli; Lactobacillales; Carnobacteriaceae. The record is from RNAcentral.